GACCUUACCUGGUCUUGACAUCCCGGAGACCCUUAGGAAACUAGGGGGUGCUUCCAUCUGGAAGAAUCUGGAGACAGGUGCUGCAUGGCUGUCGUCAGCUCGUGUCGUGAGAUGUUGGGUUAAGUCCCGCAACGAGCGCAACCCUUGCCUUUAGUUGCCAGCAGUUCGGCUGGGCACUCUAAAGGGACUGCCGGUGUUAAACCGGAGGAAGGUGGGGAUGACGUCAAGUCCUCAUGGCCUUUAUGACCAGGGCUACACACGUACUACAAUGGCCGAUACAAAGGGCAGCGACACUGCGAGGUGAAGCCAAUCCCGUAAAAUCGGUCUCAGUCCGGAUUGGAGUCUGCAACUCGACUCCAUGAAGUUGGAAUCGCUAGUAAUCGUGGAUCAGCAUGCCACGGUGAAUACGUUCCCGGGCCUU
Molecule: ribosomal RNA, 421 nt
Filed under: uncultured Desulfobulbus sp.
Lineage: Bacteria; Pseudomonadati; Thermodesulfobacteriota; Desulfobulbia; Desulfobulbales; Desulfobulbaceae
Description: bacterial SSU rRNA
Rfam family: Bacterial small subunit ribosomal RNA
Source: RNAcentral